CUCAUCAGUUAAGAGGCUGAUUGAACACAGGUGUGUCAGCCUUCAUUCUUGCUCCCGUGGUCACGUGAUCUCUCGGGUCACAACAGUCCAGGAGUAGAGGCAGGGGCAAGAGCUGCAGCUGUUGUUGGCCCCCAGUCACAGGAGCGGCUGGUGCAGUGGGCGUUCACCUGUUGAUUUGUGGUUAUCAUCAUUUGUGGUUCGCUGUGGCACUGGUCGUAGUUUUGGUGUUUUCUGUUGGGAAAAGGGUUUAACAUGUGAAUAGUUUUUGUUGCUCACCGAUAGCAGACUUCCAGUGCACCAGCCUGCUGAUUGGCGAGCCACACCACUGUAGCAAGACGCAUCAACUUUUUAAUGAACCAGCCUGUUAUGGCACUUUGACCCACACCAACUGUUGGCUUUAUCAUUGAAGUUCACCUGUACUUACAUUUAACACUAGAUAGGAGUCAUAUCUAUUAUUUAUACCUUAAGAUUCAUGUGAAGAAUGGUAAAAGUUGAAAUAAUACUAUUUUAUUUUAUUCUGAAAUGUGUGCAUGAGCUACAGUGUAGGUUGAUUGAGGAUUACAGUUAAUAUAAGGAAACAGAUAAUUGCGGUCCAUUAGGUCUAUUCCCUUGGACUGAUUAUACCAGCUCUGCUUCUACAUCCUUCAGUUGAUCCCGGCCGGUCACAGUUUGGAUUAUUUCCAUGUUCUCUCCUUCCUAUUUUAUGUUUAAGUUGAUUUUAAAUCACUCGAUAAGUUUGAUAGUUUUGAUUUCAUGGGCCCAGUUUUUAAGGCAUUCGUCUCGGAAAUUUCUUUGGCUACAACAAUAAAAUGGAGUGUGCUACAUUAAAUAUACAGCAGCAACACCUGUACAUACACAGCAUCAUUGAAUCUCUGGAAUAUCCACAGAGAACGGUUUUCAUGGGAGAGAUUUCUUCAGUUGAACAUAUUCUAUUGCAUCAACAUGUUGGGUCCAAACAUAGAAAUGACAAAUUUAAGGUAUUUACAUGCAGAGGAGUGAGAUUUAUGUCCUGACGUUUGCUCUUUUACAAAUGUUUGAAGAUUUAAACCCUUUUUCUUCAAGACAAGCAUUUGUUUAUUGAUUUCCAAGAUUUACCCACUGAGCACAAUACAACCUUUUUGGACUGAAAAACUCUGACUCUUCUUUAGAAACCCCUUUUUAUAAAGCUGUUUGUUUUUUGUAAGAUUACCCAGAGUAAUGAGAUGUUUGUGCUGUUAGAAGUCACAUUGCAUUUGCAGUAUUUUGUAACCAAAAUUAUUUGCAAGGCUCAAUGACAUCAGGGCUGAAUAAGAAAAUAUCUUUUUUGGAAAUGUGAAUUAACUGAUAAAUUGUACUUAAUGCAACCAGGGGA
Molecule: long non-coding RNA, 1351 nt
Organism: Hippoglossus stenolepis (Pacific halibut)
Lineage: Eukaryota; Metazoa; Chordata; Actinopteri; Pleuronectiformes; Pleuronectidae
Exons: 3
Source: RefSeq, a predicted model, not a curated record